GACGAACGCUGGCGGCGUGCUUAACACAUGCAAGUCGAACGGAAAGGCCCUGCUUUUGUGGGGUGCUCGAGUGGCGAAAGGGUGAGUAACACGUGAGUAACCUGCCCUUGACUUUGGGAUAACUUCAGGAAACUGGGGCUAAUACCGGAUAGGAGCUCCUGCUGCAUGGUGGGGGUUGGAAAGUUGCGGCGGUUGGGGAUGGACUUGCGGCUUAUCAGCCUGUUGGUGGGGUAGUGGGUUACAAGGGCGUGGAGGGGAAGCCGGCUUGGGGGGGUGACCGGCCACAUUGGGACUGGGGUACGGCCCAGACUCCUACUGGAGGCAUCAGUGGGGAAUAGUGCACGAUGGGCGGAAGCCUGAUGCAGCAACGCCGCGUGCGAGAUGACGGCCGGCGGGUUGUAAACCGCGUGCGCCUGUGACGAAGCGUGAGUGACGGUAAUGGGUAAAGAAGCACCGGCUAACUACGUG
Molecule: ribosomal RNA, 468 nt
Filed under: uncultured bacterium
Lineage: Bacteria
Description: partial 16S ribosomal RNA
Rfam family: Bacterial small subunit ribosomal RNA
Source: RNAcentral